CCCCUCUCAGGGUCACACCUGGAGAGUUUCCAGUCCUCUACCAGUCUUGGCUACAGGAGGGAGAGUCAAGCAGACGCCUACCCAUUCCAUUCCUAGCUAGGCCACAGGCUGGCGAGUGGCAGGCAAUCGGCUACAAGU
Small nucleolar RNA from Tachyglossus aculeatus (Australian echidna), 138 nucleotides. Lineage: Eukaryota; Metazoa; Chordata; Mammalia; Monotremata; Tachyglossidae. The record is from RefSeq and is a predicted model, not a curated record.